UAAACCAGAAGCCGAUGGUCAUCUUCUAAACAGUAUCCAAUCAAUUUCACAAGAUUCGGAUGAUAAAGCUGCCCGAGAAAGUUGAUUUCAGUCAGCCAUUCCUGGUGACCCUGGAAACUCUCUUGGUUAAGCCUCUUCACAGCAACGAUCAUGCCUGUUCCAGGCUUGCCAGGUGUUAGAGAGUGCUCAUCAAUCCAUCCUUUGUAAACACAACCAAAUCCUCCUUCACCCAGCACACUAUCCGGACGGAAGUUCCUGGUUGCUGCCUUUAGUUCACUAUAGCUAAAGCUCUUCAAAUUGGAAGACUGCAAGAUCUCACCCUCUGUCCGAGGAGUUGAAGGCACUGUGACAGUCAAUACUCUGCUAGAUCCACUCGCAUCAUAUGCACCUUUGCCACCAUAUUUUGGAUCUGCCCCAUGGUGAAGAGGACUCUCAGCUUUAAUUCUUACACUAAAGCACGAACCCAUUAACAAAAAGCUCAAAGCUCAAAGCUCAGUGCUCUUCACUCUUCUGACCAGCCCCCCCAAAUGCCAAAGAUUAGAGAAGUAUAGAAACCAAAC
RNAcentral lists this unclassified non-coding RNA (560 nucleotides) under Hevea brasiliensis (rubber tree). Lineage: Eukaryota; Viridiplantae; Streptophyta; Magnoliopsida; Malpighiales; Euphorbiaceae. The record is from RNAcentral.